UAGGCGUAAAUGAUGCGAGUUAAGUGUGGGGCAUCUACGAGAUGGCCCUGUGCUGUAGGGUAGCCGUUAAACUCGCUGCCUGGGGAGUACGGUCGCAAGGCUGAAACUUAAGGAAUUGGCGGGGGAGCACCACAACGGGUGGAGCUUGCGGUUUAAUUGGAUUCAACGCCGGAAAUCUUACCGGGACCGACAGCAACAUGAAGGCCAGGCUGAAGACUUUGCCGGAUUAGCUGAGAGGAGGUGCAUGGCGUAGUCGUGU
RNAcentral lists this ribosomal RNA (259 nucleotides) under uncultured archaeon. Its description in RNAcentral is "partial 16S ribosomal RNA". It matches the Rfam family "Archaeal small subunit ribosomal RNA", at positions 748 to 1009 of the family's 1478-position model. The record is from RNAcentral.